This 292-nucleotide ribosomal RNA is filed under the name uncultured bacterium. RNAcentral describes it as "partial 16S ribosomal RNA". The record is from RNAcentral.
GGACUACCCGGGUUUCUAAUCCUGUUUGCUCCCCACGCUUUCGUGCAUGAGCGUCAGUAUUGACCCAGGGGGCUGCCUUCGCCAUCGGUAUUCCUCCACAUCUCUACGCAUUUCACUGCUACACGUGGAAUUCUACCCCCCUCUGCCAUACUCUAGCGAUGCAGUCACCAAUGCAGUUCCCAGGUUGAGCCCGGGGAUUUCACAUCGGUCUUGCAUCACCGCCUGCGCACGCUUUACGCCCAGUAAUUCCGAUUAACGCUUGCACCCUACGUAUUACCGCGGCGGCUGGCAC